CCUGGUGAUAGCUGGUUCUCCCCGAAAGCUAUUUAGGUAGCGCCUCGGACGAAUACCAUUGGGGGUAGAGCACUGUUUCGGCUAGGGGGUCAUCCCGACUUACCAAACCGAUGCAAACUCCGAAUACCAAUGAGUACUAUCCGGGAGACAGACUGCGGGUGCUAACGUCCGUAGUCAAGAGAAAAACAAUCCAGACCGCCAGCUAAGGCCCCAAAAUUAUAGUUAAGUGGGAAACGAUGUGGGAAGGCAUAGACAGCUAGGAGGUUGGCUUAGAAGCAGCCACCCUUUAAAGAAAGCGUAAUAGCUCACUAGUCGAGUCGGCCUGCGCGGAAGAUGUAACGGGGCUAAAACUAUAUGCCGAAGCUGCGGAUGCAUAAUUUAUUAUGCGUGGUAGGGGAGCGUUCUGUAAGCCGAUGAAGGUGGAUUGAGAAGUCUGCUGGAGGUAUCAGUAGUGCGUAUGCUGACGUGAGUAACCACAAUGCGAGUGAAAAACUCGCACGCUGAAAGACCAAGGGUUCCAGUCCAACGUUAAUCGGGGCUGGGUGAGUCGACCCCUAAGGCGAGGCCGAGAGGCGUAGUCGAUGGGAAAUUGGUUAAUAUU
This 601-nucleotide ribosomal RNA is filed under the name Empedobacter falsenii. RNAcentral's name for it is "partial 23S ribosomal RNA". It matches the Rfam family "Bacterial large subunit ribosomal RNA", at positions 838 to 1437 of the family's 2925-position model. Lineage: Bacteria; Pseudomonadati; Bacteroidota; Flavobacteriia; Flavobacteriales; Weeksellaceae. The record is from RNAcentral.